AUACGUAGGUGGCAAGCGUUGUCCGGAAUUAUUGGGCGUAAAGCGCAUGUAGGCGGUUUGGUAAGUCGGUCGUGAAAAUGCGGUGCUUAACGCCGUAUGGCGAUUGAAACUGCUGAACUUGAGUGCAGGGGAGGAAAGGGGAACUCCCAGUGUAGCGGUGAAAUGCGUAGAUAUUGGGAAGAACACCGGUGGCGAAGGCGCCUUUCUGGACUGUGUCUGACGCUCAGAUGCGAAAGCCAGGGUAGCGAACGGGAUUAGAUACCCCGGUAGUCCUGGCCGUAAACGAUGGGUACUAGGUGUGGGAGGUAUCGACUCCUUCCGUGCCGGAGUUAACGCAAUAAGUACCCCGCCUGGGGAGUACGGCCGCAAGGCUUAAACUCAAAUGAAUUGACGG
This 394-nucleotide ribosomal RNA is filed under the name uncultured bacterium. RNAcentral describes it as "partial 16S ribosomal RNA". It matches the Rfam family "Bacterial small subunit ribosomal RNA", at positions 523 to 916 of the family's 1533-position model. The record is from RNAcentral.